RNAcentral lists this ribosomal RNA (1339 nucleotides) under Triticum aestivum (bread wheat). RNAcentral describes it as "partial small subunit ribosomal RNA". The record is from RNAcentral. Lineage: Eukaryota; Viridiplantae; Streptophyta; Magnoliopsida; Poales; Poaceae.
GGGCAGAGGGGGUCCGGGGUCGGGGGUGGCCUGUUUGGGAUCGGAGUGUAGGGCGUGAGGAGGGAGGAGGAGGAAGGAGCAAUCGGCCACGGCGGCAAGACGGAGGGAGGAGAGACAGGAUGUUGGUACGGCGGCCCUCCUUCGGCGGCAGGCACCGCGGUAUGGGGACAGCUCCACGACGCGUACGAAGCAAGGGGUGUCGGGGAGGGAGUAGGAGCCAGCAGUGGCGGCAACGGACGAUGAGGGGAGGUGGUGGCAACGACGAAUACCCAGCCUAGACCGCAACCACCCAGCCUCGAGCUCGAUCUCCGGCUCUACCCCUUCCAGUUUUUUCCUCUGGCCUACCUCCACGAGCUCCGGCUCCUUCGACCUCUACGUGUUGAUCGAAGUGACCGGUAGGCCACCAACGUCGUACCCCGUUGCGAGGUCAGCACUACCCCACCUCGACGCGUCCUUCCCCUCCUCCGACCGCUGUCCCUUGACCCGGUCCCUCCUCCGUUCGUCGCCAACGCCUACACCAGCCGCCAACUCCCUCCCAGUGGCUGAUCUCGUCGUCCUCGUUCCUCGAGCUCCUCCAAGUCCCCGCGGCUCUUCUUACCUUCCGUCUCGAGACACUCCCGUCCUGACGUCCUCGACUGCUACCAGUACCAAACGGAGAUGAUGUAGCAGACGGUUUCUGGCUAGGUCUUCUAUACCAAGAACUAAUAGAUAUCGGAAGGUACGACCCGAAGAGAGACUAUUUGUUUCCUCUACUAUAACGUUAUACGAUUGGUCUAACUAUCGGUCUGCGAACGCCGUCGGCGUGUUGUGCACUCCAGGUCGGCGUUAUCGAGAAGGGGUUCAGUGACGUCCAUGAUUUCUAUUUACCAACGAAAAACUCUACCGUUUAAGUGUUAGAUAAGACGGAACCACAGUUAUUUCCGGUCAAAAUGUAAAUGAAAAAGUUAUUACUCUACUGAUACUUGUUUCAUAGUUCAAAAAACAGAACCGUAAUGACGGCGGCACAUGCCUACCAAUAACUUUCUUUUUCCUAAGUUCGCCGUAUGGAAGUGAACUAUAUACGAAAUUGGCGUUCUUGACAACAAUAAAAGAAAAGGAAAGGACGUUACUACCAUCAAGCGGAAACUAAGAUCUUCAGCGUUUCCUCACUUCCCAUCUCUAAAGGUAACAGCAACUUAACCACCCUAACAGUGGUUCAAUCACAACGUCUAACAAAGAUAAAAUCUCGUUCUUCGGUUUAGCAACAAGUAACAUUUACAACUUUUUGAACAUAUGACAGUGAAGAUAUAGAUAAUAUUUGAAAGCAAGGACCACACCAUGAAUGGUUAGAACCAAACGG